CCUGUACACAUUCAUCUGACAUCUGCCAGGAAAGAAAACAUGAUUUGCUAUUAGAAUAUAUUAAUUUGUUACACACAAAAAUACACAAUGAACUAAUAAAAUGCAACUUUUAACAUGGCAAAGCCAUAGCAUGGUUAUGUGAUCUUGACGAUUGCAAGAUUCUUUCAUUUCUAUUGAAUGCCUCAGUGACCAACCUGACUAUAUGACAA
Biomphalaria pfeifferi is the source of this 209-nucleotide non-coding RNA. Lineage: Eukaryota; Metazoa; Mollusca; Gastropoda; Planorbidae. The record is from the annotation of a GenBank genome assembly.